GAUGAACGCUGGCGGCGUGCCUAAUACAUGCAAGUCGAGCGAACAGAUGAGGAGCUUGCUCCUCUGACGUUAGCGGCGGACGGGUGAGUAACACGUGGAUAACCUACCUAUAAGACUGGGAUAACUUCGGGAAACCGGAGCUAAUACCGGAUAAUAUAUUGAACCGCAUGGUUCAAUAGUGAAAGACGGUUUUGCUGUCACUUAUAGAUGGAUCCGCGCCGCAUUAGCUAGUUGGUAAGGUAACGGCUUACCAAGGCAACGAUGCGUAGCCGACCUGAGAGGGGGAUCGGCACCACUGGAACUGAGACACGGUCCAGACUCCUACGGGAGGAAGCAGUAGGGAAUCUUCCGCAAUGGGCGAAAGCCUGACGGAGCAACGCCGCGUGAGUGAUGAAGGUCUUCGGAUCGUAAAACUCUGUUAUUAGGGAAGAGCAAAUGUGUAAGUAACUAUGCACGUCUUGACGGUACCUAAUCAGAAAGCCACGGCUAACUACGUG
This 497-nucleotide ribosomal RNA is filed under the name uncultured bacterium. RNAcentral's name for it is "partial 16S ribosomal RNA". It matches the Rfam family "Bacterial small subunit ribosomal RNA", at positions 28 to 507 of the family's 1533-position model. The record is from RNAcentral.